Molecule: ribosomal RNA, 499 nt
Filed under: Clostridioides difficile
Lineage: Bacteria; Bacillati; Bacillota; Clostridia; Peptostreptococcales; Peptostreptococcaceae
Description: partial 23S ribosomal RNA
Rfam family: Bacterial large subunit ribosomal RNA
Source: RNAcentral
AAUGAGGGGAACUCAGGGAACUGAAACAUCUAAGUACCUGAAGGAAGAGAAAGAAAUUCGAUUCCGUAAGUAGCGGCGAGCGAACGCGGAUUAGCCCAAACCAAUAAAGUUUUCUUUAUUGGGGUUGAGGACAUACCACAUAUAAGAGGUCAUUAUAGACGAAGAAGUUUGGAAAAACUCAUCAUAGAAGGUAAUAAUCCUGUAGUCAAAAUAAUAAUUCUUUAGGUAUGAUCCAGAGUACCACGGGACACGUGAAACCCUGUGGGAAGCAGGAGGGACCACCCUCCAAGGCUAAAUACUACCUAGUGACCGAUAGCGUAUAGUACCGUGAGGGAAAGGUGAAAAGAACCCCGGGAGGGGAGUGAAAUAGAACCUGAAACCCUGCACUUACAAGCUGUGGAAGCACAUUUCUUGUGUGACCGCGUACUUUUUGUAGAACGGGCCAACGAGUUACGUUAAGUAGCAAGGUUAAGCACUUAAGGUGUGGAGCCGUAGCGAA